This 1030-nucleotide ribosomal RNA is filed under the name Staphylococcus aureus. RNAcentral's name for it is "bacterial SSU rRNA". It matches the Rfam family "Bacterial small subunit ribosomal RNA", at positions 1 to 1012 of the family's 1533-position model. Lineage: Bacteria; Bacillati; Bacillota; Bacilli; Caryophanales; Staphylococcaceae. The record is from RNAcentral.
UUUAUGGAGAGUUUGAUCCUGGCUCAGGAUGAACGCUGGCGGCGUGCCUAAUACAUGCAAGUCGAGCGAACGGACGAGAAGCUUGCUUCUCUGAUGUUAGCGGCGGACGGGUGAGUAACACGUGGAUAACCUACCUAUAAGACUGGGAUAACUUCGGGAAACCGGAGCUAAUACCGGAUAAUAUUUUGAACCGCAUGGUUCAAAAGUAAAAGACGGUCUUGCUGUCACUUAUAGAUGGAUCCGCGCUGCAUUAGCUAGUUGGUAAGGUAACGGCUUACCAAGGCAACGAUGCAUAGCCGACCUGAGAGGGUGAUCGGCCACACUGGAACUGAGACACGGUCCAGACUCCUACGGGAGGCAGCAGUAGGGAAUCUUCCGCAAUGGGCGAAAGCCUGACGGAGCAACGCCGCGUGAGUGAUGAAGGUCUUCGGAUCGUAAAACUCUGUUAUUAGGGAAGAACAUAUGUGUAAGUAACUGUGCACAUCUUGACGGUACCUAAUCAGAAAGCCACGGCUAACUACGUGCCAGCAGCCGCGGUAAUACGUAGGUGGCAAGCGUUAUCCGGAAUUAUUGGGCGUAAAGCGCGCGUAGGCGGUUUUUUAAGUCUGAUGUGAAAGCCCACGGCUCAACCGUGGAGGGUCAUUGGAAACUGGAAAACUUGAGUGCAGAAGAGGAAAGUGGAAUUCCAUGUGUAGCGGUGAAAUGCGCAGAGAUAUGGAGGAACACCAGUGGCGAAGGCGACUUUCUGGUCUGUAACUGACGCUGAUGUGCGAAAGCGUGGGGAUCAAACAGGAUUAGAUACCCUGGUAGUCCACGCCGUAAACGAUGAGUGCUAAGUGUUAGGGGGUUUCCGCCCCUUAGUGCUGCAGCUAACGCAUUAAGCACUCCGCCUGGGGAGUACGACCGCAAGGUUGAAACUCAAAGGAAUUGACGGGGACCCGCACAAGCGGUGGAGCAUGUGGUUUAAUUCGAAGCAACGCGAAGAACCUUACCAAAUCUUGACAUCCUUUGACAACUCUAGAGAUAGAGC